CAGGCCUAACACAUGCAAGUCGAACGGUAACAUUUCUAGCUUGCUAGAAGAUGACGAGUGGCGGACGGGUGAGUAAUGCUUGGGAACUUGCCUUUGCGAGGGGGAUAACAGUUGGAAACGACUGCUAAUACCGCAUAAUGUCUUCGGACCAAACGGGGCUUCGGCUCCGGCGCAAAGAGAGGCCCAAGUGAGAUUAGCUAGUUGGUAAGGUAACGGCUUACCAAGGCGACGAUCUCUAGCUG
This 242-nucleotide ribosomal RNA is filed under the name Pelagomonas calceolata. Its description in RNAcentral is "partial Bacterial small subunit ribosomal RNA". It matches the Rfam family "Bacterial small subunit ribosomal RNA", at positions 43 to 289 of the family's 1533-position model. Lineage: Eukaryota; Pelagophyceae; Pelagomonadales; Pelagomonadaceae. The record is from RNAcentral.